UACGUAGGGUGCGAGCGUUGUCCGGAAUUAUUGGGCGUAAAGGGCUCGUAGGCGGUUUGUCGCGUCGGGAGUGAAAAUCCAGGGCUUAACUCUGGACUGGCUUCCGAUACGGGCAGACUAGAGGUAUGCAGGGGAGAACGGAAUUCCUGGUGUAGCGGUGAAAUGCGCAGAUAUCAGGAGGAACACCGGUGGCGAAGGCGGUUCUCUGGGCCGUAACUGACGCUGAGGAGCGAAAGCGUGGGGAGCAAACAGG
RNAcentral lists this ribosomal RNA (253 nucleotides) under uncultured bacterium. RNAcentral's name for it is "partial 16S ribosomal RNA". It matches the Rfam family "Bacterial small subunit ribosomal RNA", at positions 524 to 776 of the family's 1533-position model. The record is from RNAcentral.